AUUAGAUAAAAAACCAAUGCGGCUUGCCGCUCUUGGUGAUUCAUAAUAACUUCUCGAAUCGCAUGGCCUUGUGCUGGCGAUGCUUCAUUCAAAUAUCUGCCCUAUCAACUUCCGAUGGUAGGAUAGAGGCCUACCAUGGUUUCAACGGGUAACGGGGAAUAAGGGUUCGAUUCCGGAGAGGGAGCCUGAGAACAGCUACCACAUCCAAGGAAGGCAGCAGGCGCGCAAAUUACCCAAUCCCGACACGGGGAGGUAGUGACAAUAAAUAACAAUAUAGGGCUCUAUUGGGUCUUAUAAUUGGAAUGAGUACAAUUUAAACCCCUUAACGAGGAACAAUUGGAGGGCAAGUCUGGUGCCAGCAGCCGCGGUAAUUCCAGCUCCAAUAGCGUAUAUUAAAGUUGUUGCAGUUAAAAAGCUCGUAGUUGAACUUCGAACCCGGUCGGGCGGUCUGCCUUACGGUACGUACUGUUUGGCUGGGUUCUACCUCUUGGUGAGCCGGCAUGUCCUUAAUUGGG
Molecule: ribosomal RNA, 515 nt
Filed under: uncultured fungus
Lineage: Eukaryota; Fungi
Description: SSU rRNA
Rfam family: Eukaryotic small subunit ribosomal RNA
Source: RNAcentral